UACGGAGGGUGCGAGCGUUGUCCGGAAUCAUUGGGCGUAAAGGGCGCGUAGGUGGCCCGGUCAGUUCGUGGUGAAAGCGCGGGGCUCAACCCUGCGUCGGCCAUGAAUACUGCCGCGGCUGGAGCACUGUAGAGGCAGGCGGAAUUCCGGGUGUAGCGGUGGAAUGCGUAGAGAUCCGGAAGAACACCGGUGGCGAAGGCGGGUCUCUGGGCAACAACUGACGCUGAGGAGCGAAAGCGUGGGGAGCGAACAGG
RNAcentral lists this ribosomal RNA (254 nucleotides) under uncultured bacterium. RNAcentral's name for it is "partial 16S ribosomal RNA". It matches the Rfam family "Bacterial small subunit ribosomal RNA", at positions 524 to 776 of the family's 1533-position model. The record is from RNAcentral.